UACAUUUAUAGUAAAAUAAGAUUAUACUCGCCUUCCAUGUGAGAGUUCUAGAAAUAGUAAAUGUAG
Molecule: transfer RNA, 66 nt
Filed under: Perna viridis (Asian green mussel)
Lineage: Eukaryota; Metazoa; Mollusca; Bivalvia; Mytilida; Mytilidae
Description: tRNA-Gly
Source: RNAcentral